RNAcentral lists this ribosomal RNA (468 nucleotides) under uncultured bacterium. RNAcentral describes it as "partial 16S ribosomal RNA". It matches the Rfam family "Bacterial small subunit ribosomal RNA", at positions 28 to 507 of the family's 1533-position model. The record is from RNAcentral.
GACGAACGCUGGCGGCGUGCUUAACACAUGCAAGUCGAACGGAAAGGCCCUGCUUUUGUGGGGUGCUCGAGUGGCGAACGGGUGAGUAACACGUUAGUAACCUGCCCUUGACUUUGGGAUAACUUCAGGAAACUGGGGCUAAUACCGGAUAGGAGCUCCUGCUGCAUGGUGGGGGUUGGAGAGUUUCGGCGGUUGGGGAUGGACUCGCGGCUUAUCAGCUUGUUGGUGGGGUAGUGGCUUACCAAGGCUUUGACGGGUAGCCGGCCUGAGAGGGUGACCGGCCACAUUGGGACUGAGAUACGGCCCAGACUCCUACGGGAGGCAGCAGUGGGGAAUAUUGCACAAUGGGCGGAAGCCUGAUGCAGCAACGCCGCGUGCGGGAUGACGGCCUUCGGGUUGUAAACCGCUUUCGCCUGUGACGAAGCGUGAGUGACGGUAAUGGGUAAAGAAGCACCGGCUAACUACGUG